RNAcentral lists this long non-coding RNA (317 nucleotides) under Scleropages formosus (Asian bonytongue). RNAcentral describes it as "lncRNA (ENSSFOG00015030785.1)". The record is from RNAcentral. Lineage: Eukaryota; Metazoa; Chordata; Actinopteri; Osteoglossiformes; Osteoglossidae.
GUGACACGGCCCAGAGGGGUCCGACACGCCGCUCAACGAGGGCCAGAAAGAGCGGGAGAGAAAAACCCUUCUUGCGCUCUGCAAAUAUGUGUUUGAGUUCAACUCGUCGCUGGAAACGACUUUCCGAGCAUGGGAACGAACCGUGGAAGCUCCAUCCGGUGUCCAUCGAGGCCGCGCCCGUCUUACUGGGCUUCUGAGAAAUUUCCGCGAGCAGCCGGCAGAGAAGGCGAUGGAAGGAGGAGGCGGUCCGCUGUAAUUGUGCGUUUGCGGAGGAGAACAGCUUUUCCCCCCACUGCAUCAAGGCAGUGAUGAAAGGC